UCCGUAGGCGGUGUGGCAAGUCGGAAGUGAAAUCUCUGGGCUUAACUCAGAGGCUGCUCCCGAAACUGCCAUGCUAGAGUGUGAGAGAGGCGAGUGGAAUUGCGGGUGUAGCGGUGAAAUGCGUAGAUAUCCGCAGGAACAUCCGAGGCGAGAGCGGCUCGCUGGAUCGCAACUGACGCUGAGGGACGAAAGCUAGGGGAGCAAACAGGAUUAGAUACCCUGGUAGUCCUAGCCCUAAACCAUCAGGACUUGGGGUUUGCCCUGUACGGGGCAAGUCCCGUAGCUAACGCGUUAAGUCCUGCGCCUGGGGAGUACGGUCGCAAGGCUGAA
RNAcentral lists this ribosomal RNA (330 nucleotides) under uncultured bacterium. Its description in RNAcentral is "bacterial SSU rRNA". It matches the Rfam family "Bacterial small subunit ribosomal RNA", at positions 568 to 898 of the family's 1533-position model. The record is from RNAcentral.